UAAAGAUUCAUCGCUGAUAGAUAGGCAUGCGUUCCAUUAGGCAGUUGGCGGGGUAACGGCCCACCAAACCGACGAUGGAUAGGGGUUCUGAGAGGAAGGUCCCCCACAUUGGUACUGAGACACGGACCAAACUCCUACGGGAGGCAGCAGUGAGGAAUAUUGGUCAAUGGGCGUAAGCCUGAACCAGCCAAGUCGCGUGAGGGAUGAAGGUUCUAUGGAUCGUAAACCUCUUUUAUAAGGGAAUAAAGUGCGGGACGUGUCCCGUUUUGUAUGUACCUUAUGAAUAAGGAUCGGCUAACUCCGUGCCAGCAGCCGCGGUAAUACGGAGGAUCCGAGCGUUAUCCGGAUUUAUUGGGUUUAAAGGGUGCGUAGGCGGCCUUUUAAGUCAGCGGUGAAAGUCUGUGGCUCAACCAUAGAAUUGCCGUUGAAACUGGGAGGCUUGAGUAUGUUUGAGGCAGGCGGAAUGCGUGGUGUAGCGGUGAAAUGCUUAGAUAUCACGCAGAACCCCGAUUGCGAAGGCAGCCUGCCAAGCCAUGACUGACGCUGAUGCACGAAAGCGUGGGGAUCAAACAGGAUUAGAUACCCUGGUAGUCCACGCACU
This 601-nucleotide ribosomal RNA is filed under the name uncultured bacterium. RNAcentral's name for it is "bacterial SSU rRNA". It matches the Rfam family "Bacterial small subunit ribosomal RNA", at positions 202 to 803 of the family's 1533-position model. The record is from RNAcentral.